Molecule: long non-coding RNA, 687 nt
Organism: Mizuhopecten yessoensis (Yesso scallop)
Lineage: Eukaryota; Metazoa; Mollusca; Bivalvia; Pectinida; Pectinidae
Exons: 3
Source: RefSeq, a predicted model, not a curated record
CUUCGCCGACGACGUGCGAAAUGGGAAGAACGUCUUGAUAAUAUAUAUUCUCUACAGCUGUCUGUGUUGGAGGUACAUAUUGAAAGAUCGUGAAAGAUUGGGUCCAGUUAGCUUGCUUGUACGAUUUCACCAUGCGGAGGAGACUUUCCUUUUCACCGUCGACGAUAGAUUCAUCACUUACGUCGCAAUAGGUUCAAUCCAUAGAUGCCGACUGAAGUCGUCAAUAACCAUCAAGAGAUAUCGCACUCCCGAAUUAUGUUUGGAUAGAGAUGUCAUGUCUGCCAAAUCAGCAUCGUACUGUUCACCUGGCCCGCCAACUUCAACACGUGCACGUUUGAAUGAGCGCCUAACUGGUUUUUGUAAACUAUAAUCAUCAAGACUCUGUAUAUAUCUUCUGAUCUUAUGUAUACCGAGGGUUUUAAUACCUUGCGAUUUCAAUAUUUGAUGAACCUCCACGGGACUGAGAAAUGCACAUCCAUUCUCCAAAUUAUAAUAUACGUCAUCUAUAAGUCGUCUCUCUUCCUCGGUCAACAUAUUUGAAAAAAAAAUGGGACAAAAACAUUUAUGUACAAACUUGUAUUAACAUUGAUACAUAUUACAACGUUUUGUGAAACCAAUCUUCUACACGAUUCAUGGACAUGACCAUUAUACCGACUUUCUCUUUCCAUUUUUCUGUUUUAAGUUCAU